RNAcentral lists this long non-coding RNA (382 nucleotides) under Homo sapiens (human). RNAcentral's name for it is "non-protein coding LINC00313:16". The record is from RNAcentral. Lineage: Eukaryota; Metazoa; Chordata; Mammalia; Primates; Hominidae.
GUGCCGCAGACCCCUGGGAGGCACCAACACCCCGGAUCGAGAAGCCCGAUGGGAAAGAAUGUCUGGGAAGGACGUCAUGCCCGAGGCUUGCGUGACAGUUUCCACUCACAGUGCGCUCACUCUGAACCUCUGUGCACACGAUGGGCCUGCAUCUCUUCCCACUAUCUGCUAGGAAACACGAGGGGAAGGAAAUGACCGCAGAAGGGAGUGCACCGUGGGGGCAGGAGGUGCUGCGGCCAAUGGGCAGUGCUGGGAGAUGAAACCAACAGCGGCGAUUGCCCCAGAAAGAACUUGGCGCUGCUAAGGCAAUGGCGGCCCGAAAGAGGCCCCUGACGCAUGAGGAGCGGCCGCCGUCUCCAGCCCCAGGCCUCCCUCCCCUGUG